RNAcentral lists this ribosomal RNA (330 nucleotides) under uncultured Ehrlichia sp. RNAcentral describes it as "bacterial SSU rRNA". It matches the Rfam family "Bacterial small subunit ribosomal RNA", at positions 75 to 417 of the family's 1533-position model. The record is from RNAcentral. Lineage: Bacteria; Pseudomonadati; Pseudomonadota; Alphaproteobacteria; Rickettsiales; Anaplasmataceae.
AGCCUCUGGCUAUAGGAAAUUGUUAGUGGCAGACGGGUGAGUAAUGCGUAGGAAUCUACCUAGUAGUACGGAAUAGCCAUUAGAAAUGGUGGGUAAUACUGUAUAAUCCCCGAGGGGGAAAGAUUUAUCGCUAUUAGAUGAGCCUACGUUAGAUUAGCUAGUUGGUGAGGUAAUGGCUUACCAAGGCUAUGAUCUAUAGCUGGUCUGAGAGGACGAUCAGCCACACUGGAACUGAGAUACGGUCCAGACUCCUACGGGAGGCAGCAGUGGGGAAUAUUGGACAAUGGGCGAAAGCCUGAUCCAGCUAUGCCGCGUGAGUGAAGAAGGCCU